UGGUUCUGGCAUCGAUGAAGAACGCAGCGAAAUGCGAAAAGUAAUGCGAAUUGCAGAAUUCCGUGAGUCAUCGAAUCUUUGAACGCACAUUGCGCCCCCUGGUAUUCCGGAGGGCAUGCCUGUCCGAGCGUCAUUAUCCAUCUCCAGCGUGCUGGGCGUUGGGCCGACCGUCUGGUCGCCCCGAAAAGCAGCGGCGGCACCGCUCUGGUCGCAGCGCAACGAGCUUCGGCCGCGCUGCGGGCACCGGCCCGCCCCCCAAUCCAAGUUGACCUCGGAUCAGACAGGAUUACCCGCUGA
Molecule: unclassified non-coding RNA, 297 nt
Filed under: uncultured fungus
Lineage: Eukaryota; Fungi
Description: partial contains 5.8S ribosomal RNA and internal transcribed spacer 2
Rfam family: 5.8S ribosomal RNA (bases 1-133)
Source: RNAcentral